AAGGUUGGCUAAUCCUGGUCGGACAUCAGGAGGUUAGUGCAAUGGCAUAAGCCAGCUUGACUGCGAGCGUGACGGCGCGAGCAGGUGCGAAAGCAGGUCAUAGUGAUCCGGUGGUUCUGAAUGGAAGGGCCAUCGCUCAACGGAUAAAAGGUACUCCGGGGAUAACAGGCUGAUACCGCCCAAGAGUUCAUAUCGACGGCGGUGUUUGGCACCUCGAUGUCGGCUCAUCACAUCCUGGGGCUGAAGUAGGUCCCAAGGGUAUGGCUGUUCGCCAUUUAAAGUGGUACGCGAGCUGGGUUUAGAACGUCGUGAGACAGUUCGGUCCCUAUCUGCCGUGGGCGCUGGAGAACUGAGGGGGGCUGCUCCUAGUACGAGAGGACCGGAGUGGACGCAUCACUGGUGUUCGGGUUGUCAUGCCAAUGGCACUGCCCGGUAGCUAAAUGCGGAAGAGAUAAGUGCUGAAAGCAUCUAAGCACGAAACUUGCCCCGAGAUGAGUUCUCCCUGAGACUUAGAGUCUCCUGAAGGAACGUUGAAGACGACGACGUUGAUAGGCCGGGUGUGUAAGCGCAGCGAUGCGUUGAGCUAACCGGUACUAAUGAACCGUGAGGCUUAACCUU
RNAcentral lists this ribosomal RNA (618 nucleotides) under Salmonella enterica. Its description in RNAcentral is "partial 23S ribosomal RNA". It matches the Rfam family "Bacterial large subunit ribosomal RNA", at positions 2313 to 2925 of the family's 2925-position model. Lineage: Bacteria; Pseudomonadati; Pseudomonadota; Gammaproteobacteria; Enterobacterales; Enterobacteriaceae. The record is from RNAcentral. RNAcentral also lists the same sequence under 4 other names.